UACAGAGGUCCCGAGCGUUGUUCGGAUUCAUUGGGCGUAAAGGGUGCGUAGGCGGCGGAGUAAGUUGGGUGUGAAAUCCCGGGGCUUAACCUCGGAAUUGCAUUCAAUACUGCUUCGCUAGAGUACUGGAGAGGAGGCUGGAAUUUACGGUGUAGCAGUGAAAUGCGUAGAUAUCGUAAGGAAGGCCGGUGGCGAAAGCGAGCCUCUGGACAGUUACUGACGCUGAUGCACGAAGGCCAGGGGAGCAAACGGG
Molecule: ribosomal RNA, 253 nt
Filed under: uncultured bacterium
Lineage: Bacteria
Description: partial 16S ribosomal RNA
Rfam family: Bacterial small subunit ribosomal RNA
Source: RNAcentral